Molecule: long non-coding RNA, 1409 nt
Organism: Sardina pilchardus (European sardine)
Lineage: Eukaryota; Metazoa; Chordata; Actinopteri; Clupeiformes; Clupeidae
Exons: 3
Source: RefSeq, a predicted model, not a curated record
UAAUGACAUGUCACUGGCAUCGGCAUUUGACAUGCCACUUCGGCAUGCCCAGAGCGGUAGAUUCAAGGAAACAAUGGCGGACGUUUUCCAGGCUACUUCCAUUUACUUCCAACUUUAUCAGCGAUGCUUGAUGCUGAAAGUGACGUGACAAGAGGACAUUGCCUUUCAUUAGCAGUGCCACUGCAUUGGUUGACACCAUAAGGGAAUCGGUCGUCCUUGCCCGGAACAACUGCUCCACUUUACUGAUGAUAUUGAAGGCCUGCGAUGGACGGUAAAGGGUACCCCUCUUGAACUUCUUCAGUUGUAGCAGUACACUACAUUUACUGUUAGCACAGUCAUUGCUAUUGUCUGUAACAGCAUGCUGGCAUUCCCCACAAAGUGAGUUACUGAUUACUCUCAGUAUUGUUCUCAUUACAAUAAGAAAAGUCUCUCCUUGUGUUGGUGAAUGCAAUGGCUAAAGUUCAAUGAUUUCUUAUAGCCUGUCAGCAAAUAUCCUCAAAAUAACUCAGAGAUAUUGUUGGGAAUCACAUUGUUAGUGUUGUUAUUGUUAUAGUCCAUGUGUGGAUGUAAGGUGUGGCACCCCCAACCAAACUUGAAGGGGUCAGCCGUGUAUGGGUAUGUAAAACUCUUGCUGGCCUUUUGCUUUGGUUUAUGCUAAUAACUUGAUGUGGCAUCUCUGAAUGUGUUGUACCACACUGACUUUUACCUGCUCUCUCCAUUUUCCACUGUGCCUGUACUUGCCUAGGACCAAGGAUGCAGAGGACAAGAAGGGUGUGUAGUAUGUAGUAUGUGUAGUUUAUGGUUUAGGUCCAAAUGAAGGGACCCUCCAACAUCUCCAACACCUCCUGUCACACCUCUAGCCAAAUGUGCUACAUCUUCCUCAGUUAACCUUCUUGUAGGUGCGCAUAGUGUAUACAGCAUCCCUUGCACAUUGAGUCUUUGGUUGUUGACACACAGUUGUUGUUCAGACUUGGGAAUCUGAAAUGUUUUUCAGAAUGUCUUUGCAAAUCUAAAUGGGUCUAAGCCCUCCUUGUUAUGUUGCAGUCUCACCGUAUCUCCCCCUCGGCCUUUUUUGUGUUUGUUCCUGUUCUUGUUGUUGUUAAAACACACUUGUUCCACAUAUUGAAAAUGUAAUAUUCAUUCAAAUUAGCCAAGGCUAUAAAUGCUAUGAUGCUUUCUGUUGGGUUGUGCACAGCCCACAUGAUAUGUAUCUGUCCCUAUCAAAUAAACCAUAAACAAACAAACAAACAAUAAACAAAUGUAGUGAAAACCCAAAAUGUAUCAUCCUUUCUAUAUCCUACUGUUAAGUGCUUUCUUGAAACAGUUGAUUGAGUUACACGUGUGUUAUCGAAACAGUGGGUGUCCUGAACAAACUGUUGAACAAACAAACUUUUAAUAUUUCGGCCGUU